AUGAACGCUGGCGGCGUGCCUAAUACAUGCAAGUCGAGCGAACGGACGAGAAGCUUGCUUCUCUGAUGUUAGCGGCGGACGGGUGAGUAACACGUGGAUAACCUACCUAUAAGACUGGGAUAACUUCGGGAAACCGUAGCUAAUACCGAUAAUAUUUUGAACCGCAUGGUUCAAAAGUGAAAGACGGUCUUGCUGUCACUUAUAGAUGGAUCCGCGCUGCAUUAGCUAGUUGGUAAGGUAACGGCUUACCAAGGCAACGAUGCAUAGCCGACCUGAGAGGGUGAUCGGCCACACUGGAACUGAGACACGGUCCAGACUCCUACGGGAGGCAGCAGUAGGGAAUCUUCCGCAAUGGGCGAAAGCCUGACGGAGCAACGCCGCGUGAGUGAUGAAGGUCUUCGGAUCGUAAAACUCUGUUAUUAGGGAAGAACAUAUGUGUAAGUAACUGUGCACAUCUUGACGGUACCUAAUCAGAAAGCCACGGCUAACUACGUG
Molecule: ribosomal RNA, 495 nt
Filed under: uncultured bacterium
Lineage: Bacteria
Description: partial 16S ribosomal RNA
Rfam family: Bacterial small subunit ribosomal RNA
Source: RNAcentral